This 72-nucleotide transfer RNA is filed under the name Podarcis lilfordi (Lilford's wall lizard). RNAcentral describes it as "tRNA.Lys". The stretch from base 3 to 60 matches the Rfam family "tRNA", at positions 8 to 63 of the family's 71-position model. Rfam says of the family: Transfer RNA (tRNA) molecules are approximately 80 nucleotides in length. Their secondary structure includes four short double-helical elements and three loops (D, anti-codon, and T loops). The record is from RNAcentral. Lineage: Eukaryota; Metazoa; Chordata; Lepidosauria; Squamata; Lacertidae.
GAUAGCUUAGUCGGUAGAGCAUGUGACUCUUAAUCUCAGGAUUGUGGGUUCGAGCUCCACAUUGGGCAAACA